This 821-nucleotide non-coding RNA is filed under the name Pan troglodytes (chimpanzee). Lineage: Eukaryota; Metazoa; Chordata; Mammalia; Primates; Hominidae. The record is from RNAcentral.
GCCGGAGGAGAGCCGCGUCUAAGCUGGGCCGGCCCCUAGGGGCUGUCGCCUUCCUGCUCCUCGCUCUCAGUCCCUUGGCCUGCGUGGUCGUGGUCAGGCCCGCUGCCACUGCUGCCCCUGCUUCUGUGCUGCCUGGGCAACAGGCUCUUCCACUGGGCCUUGUUGUGUGCGAGGUGGCCCAGCAUGUUCUCCGACAGGGUGCUGUUACCCGUGAAAUGGGCCCAUUCCCGGAAGAGCGGCUCCACGAUGUAGCUCAUGAAACCUAGAACAGCACUUCUCCUUCCUGUCACCAUGUGAAGGACGUGUUUGCUUACCCUUCUGCUAUGAUUGUAAGCUUCCUGAGGCCUCCCCAGCCCUGCAGAACUGUCAGUAUGAAAUAUAACUUAGAAUGAGUCAGACAUGUGUCUGUCUUUUGUAAAGUGGAAAUAGGGUGACUGUGAAAGUUAAGUGGAAAAGUGGAACUGGCUUCACUGCCCCGCAAGCACAUUCCAGGACAAACUUGCCAAAUACUGCAAGAAAAGAUGUUGCUGAUCACGGAUAGGAAAUACUCCAAGUCCCAGGAGAUAGUCUGUUCUUAGGAGACUUCCACACCAAGUCUGCUGACCAGAGAAGGACCACUCAACCACCACACUCUCCGCUGGAGCCCACUCAGCACCAGGAAGUAUUUGGGAGUUCUUCAUUCCAGACAUCUGUGCCAACAUGGCACUUGGGAUUCUUUUAAACUCCAAGUGUUGUUCAUUUUUUGUUUGUUUUUCAGGAAGGAAACAGAUGGCAAAACCUAGACUUGGUAGGGAAGUGAUUGAAUUGAUUAUAUUAUACCC